UACGUAGGGUGCGAGCGUUAAUCGGAAUUACUGGGCGUAAAGCGUGCGUAGGCGGUUCGUUAAGUCAGUUGUGAAAGCCCCGGGCUCAACCUGGGAAUUGCGGUUGAAACUGGCGAACUAGAAUCUGGCAGAGGGGGGUGGAAUUCCACGUGUAGCAGUGAAAUGCGUAGAGAUGUGGAGGAACACCGAUGGCGAAGGCAGCCCCCUGGGCUGAGAUUGACGCUCAGGCACGAAAGCGUGGGGAGCAAACAGG
This 253-nucleotide ribosomal RNA is filed under the name uncultured bacterium. Its description in RNAcentral is "partial 16S ribosomal RNA". It matches the Rfam family "Bacterial small subunit ribosomal RNA", at positions 524 to 776 of the family's 1533-position model. The record is from RNAcentral.